Molecule: non-coding RNA, 2282 nt
Organism: Oncorhynchus mykiss (rainbow trout)
Lineage: Eukaryota; Metazoa; Chordata; Actinopteri; Salmoniformes; Salmonidae
Source: RefSeq, a predicted model, not a curated record
GUUGUUAAUAGAUUUUUCGCUCACACCAGAUGUCUGGACCCUGGACAGAUAACAGAAGGAGAGAGGGACCCUAGGAGGUACGUAAAGGAGUUGAUGAAAUCCUGUUACGACAGACAAAUCAGAUAAGUCAGUCUGUGUGGAGGAGGAUGAAGACCUAGUGACGUGCAGGACAGAGUAAAACACACACUAUCAAUGACAUGCAGCUUUUCUCAUAGACCGGGGAGGUUACUAUGUGAAGGAAUGUGUUAGGAUUGGAAGUUCUCUCUUUAUGUUUCUUUUGAGAUGGUAUGGCCUCUGAGAACCCCCAAGACCAACUGCAUGAGGCUAUUAAAAACGCACAACGCCUUGCUGAGGAGCUCAACCAAGAGAAGGACCCACAAGCCCAACUGGACGAGGCCAUUAACGAGGUCAAAAGACUGGCUGAGGAGCUCAACCAAGAGAAGGACCCACAAGCCCAACUGGACGAGGCCAUUAACGAGGCAAAAAGACUGGCUGAGGAGCUCAACCCAGAACGGGAAAAUAAGAAGAAAAAGACAAACAAGCCUCCAGGGAUUAGGUUCAGAUGGAGACAAAGGGAUGAGAGAGGACAGAUUGUUCCUCAAACCAGGAAGGCAAGUUUCAUCCCAUCUAGGUGCUCAACACGUAUAAGUUUAUAUUAUAUAUUCAUAUUUAUGUCAUGUAAAGUCUCCAUACACUUCAUGUAAGUAUUCAGCCCAUAUAAUAUGAUUUUCUGGUAAAAAAUAGAUUUAUAUUUUAUUUCAGGAUUUGAUUGAGUGAUGUUUUGCAGUGAUACCAGGAGAGGGCAGUGUGACAACAACCAGGUUUGGCAGGAGGACACUAGGACGGUCAUUUCUCUGUUGUUGUGGUAACAUGAUAGGGUGGGUUGUUGGUUAGGAAUAGAUAACAGAGCCACGGUUGGACACUUCAGAAUACAGCCAUGGUUGGAGGAGUCAGCCGGGAGUGGAUAGCUGUAUCGGCCACUGUUGGAUAGCUCAGCCGUAGCUGCAUACUAGUCAUGUUCGGAAAAUAGAGGCGUGGUGGAAUGUACCAUUCAGCUAUGAUUGGAUAGCUAUGGUAGCUCCGCCCCGUUCAUAGUCCCAGACCCAAAACGCUCUCAGUCUGUCAGCGACCGUGCAAGAGUGAACAUCUCCCAUGACUGUUAUUUCUAAACUUGUCAAAGCUUGAAAUCUUUCACUCAUUUCCAUCCCAGCCCGAAACCGUAUCUGCAGAACAGCACUUUUUUUAGGAGCUUUGAUAUUCUUAUAUUGUUACGGUACUUUUUGAUACUGUUUGUAAGUAUCCAUGUUAUGCACUGAAUUUGUAAUUGUAUUUGAAUGUGAAAUUAAAAUAAAAAUUAUUUUUCAAAAAAAUAUGUAAAAAAAUCUAUGUAUGCUUAUGUGUACAACGUGGUGCUUUGUUGAAUAAAACGGAAACAAACCAACCAGAAUAUAGUCAUGUCUUUAAUUUCACAUUUCAAUAUUAUAUCACCUCGUUCAUGGAGGUAAUAGACAUUUAGGGAGGCAGAGUAUGACAGUGUGAAAACGUAACAAUGUAAAACAAAAAAAGAACAAGUUUAAUGUGUACUCAAUUUCCAGGGGCUUCCUCUACGCGAAGCAGAGCCGUCCUGAGCCUCCACUACAGGAACUCAGUGCCAGAGUGAACUUCUCCCCUGGCUACUAUUUCAAAGUUGUCAAAGCUUCAAGUCGUUUGACUCAUUUCGAUCUAAGCCCGAAACUGAGAAGUGCCAGGGGCUUUCCCUACAUGAAUUUGGCGCCUCUCCAGCUCUCGAGAUUCAUUGUUGGUUAGGAAUAGAUAACAGAGCCACGGUUGGACACUUCAGAAUACAGCCAUGGUUGGAGGAGUCAGCCGGGAGUGGAUAUCUGUAUCGGCCACUGUUGGAUGGAUCAGCCGUAGCUGCAUACUAGAGUCAUGUUCGGAAAAUAGAGGCGUGACAUACCAGUCAGCUCUGAUUGGUAGCUCCGCCCCGUUCAUAGUCCCAGACCCAAAACACUCUGUCUGUCAGCGACCGUGCAAGAGUGAACAUCUCCCGUGACUGUUAUUUCUAAACUUGUCAAAGCUUGAAAUCGGUUCACUCAUUUCCAUCCCAGCCCGAAACCGUAUCCAUGUAUGCUUAUGUGUACAAGGUGGUGCUUUGUUGAAUAAAACGGAAACAAACCAACCAGAAUAUAAUAAUAAAAUGUCUUUAAUUUCACAUUUCAAUAUUAUAUCACACUGCAUACUAGAGUCAUGUUCGGAAAAAAUAAUAAUAAUAAAAAUAAAAA